AACGAACGCUGGCGGCAUGCCUAACACAUGCAAGUCGAACGAGACCUUCGGGUCUAGUGGCGCACGGGUGCGUAACGCGUGGGAACCUGCCCUUAGGUUCGGAAUAACUCCCCGAAAGGGGUGCUAAUACCGGAUAAUGUCUUCGGACCAAAGAUUUAUCGCCUUUGGAUGGGCCCGCGUUGGAUUAGCUAGUUGGUAGGGUAAAAGCCUACCAAGGCGACGAUCCAUAGCUGGUCUGAGAGGAUGAUCAGCCACACUGGGACUGAGACACGGCCCAGACUCCAAGGGGAGGAGGCAGGGGGGAAAAUGGGACAAGGGGCGAAAGCUGGAUCCACCAAGGCGGGGGGAGUGAGGAAGGCUUUAGGGUUGUAAAGCUCUUUUACCCGGGAUGAUAAGACAGGUCCCGGAGGAAUAAGCUCCGCCAAACUCCGG
RNAcentral lists this ribosomal RNA (432 nucleotides) under uncultured bacterium. RNAcentral describes it as "partial 16S ribosomal RNA". It matches the Rfam family "Bacterial small subunit ribosomal RNA", at positions 29 to 506 of the family's 1533-position model. The record is from RNAcentral.